GACGAACGCUGGCGGCGUGCCUAAUACAUGCAAGUCGAGCGCUGAAGGAUGGUACUUGUACCAACUGGAUGAGCAGCGAACGGGUGAGUAACGCGUGGGUAAUCUGCCUUUGAGCGGGGGACAACAUCUGGAAACGAAUGCUAAUACCGCAUAAAAACUUUAAACACAAGUUUUAAGUUUGAAAGAUGCAAUUGCAUCACUCAAAGAUGAUCCCGCGUUGUAUUAGCUAGUUGGUGAGGUAAAGGCUCACCAAGGCGAUGAUACCUAGCCGACCCGAGAGGGUGGACGGCCAAAUUGGGAAUGAGAAACGGCCCAAAAUCCCACGGGGAGCAGCAAGAGGGGAACUUCGGCAAUGGGGGGAAGGCUGGACGAACAAAGCCGGGUGAGUGAAGGAAGUUCUCGGAUCGUAAAACUCUGUUGGUAGGGAAGGAAGUUGGUGAGGGUGGAACGCUCAUGAAGUGACGGUAACUAAACAGAAAGCGACGGCUAACUACGUG
RNAcentral lists this ribosomal RNA (497 nucleotides) under uncultured bacterium. RNAcentral's name for it is "partial 16S ribosomal RNA". It matches the Rfam family "Bacterial small subunit ribosomal RNA", at positions 28 to 507 of the family's 1533-position model. The record is from RNAcentral.